UAUAUGUAUUUACACACACUACAAUAGAAUUAGAUUAUAGAAACACAUUUUUGAAACACUUUUAUGUAAUUGUCCUAUUUAUACUAAAACCUUUUUAAAAAAUCUACUAAAAUCUAAAUAUAAAGCUCAAUCGAAUCAAAAGCAAAAAGUUUUUCUACUCAACCAACUCCACCCAGCCCACUCGGCCCGAUUACAAAUAGAAAAGGAAAAAAAAAAAAAUUAUAUACCAUCUCCCCUUAUUCCUCUUCUGCCGCCGCAGCCGACGAGGUAGGGUUUCAACGGCUGGAGUUCAGUUGCGAGGAUCUUGUAGGGACUGUAGAGGGCUACGAUCGCCACGUGUAUUUCCGCCACAGGUUGAUGAAGGAAUGUGUGCCAAAUAUCAAGACGACCCUACAUAUAGUGACUCAACAUAUAGUAACACUUUUAGAAAGUAUCGGUAACUUAGCUAGCAACACUUUUUUAAACAUAUAUUGAUAUUUAAAAAAUAUCGCUAUAUAUCAUUUUUAUUGUAGUGUGUACACACACAAAAAGAGACAGAAGAAAAGAAAGAAGAAGAUAAACAUAAGGAGGCGCUACAUG
This 579-nucleotide long non-coding RNA is filed under the name Ananas comosus (pineapple). RNAcentral's name for it is "long non-coding RNA (ACOM_LNC008493)". The record is from RNAcentral. Lineage: Eukaryota; Viridiplantae; Streptophyta; Magnoliopsida; Poales; Bromeliaceae.